Molecule: long non-coding RNA, 2682 nt
Organism: Acanthochromis polyacanthus (spiny chromis)
Lineage: Eukaryota; Metazoa; Chordata; Actinopteri; Pomacentridae
Exons: 5
Source: RefSeq, a predicted model, not a curated record
GUGCUUGUGUCACUGUCGGUACAGAUCGGUGUUCGUGCAAGUUCCUGUCUGCAGUUUCCUCCCGUCUAGUACACAAACUGCUGUUUGACUAGCAGAAUAAAACUCUGAAUUCAGCAAACCAAGGCAGCUCAGGAAGACCAGUUUAUCAGAUCAAAGGCUCAAAGGCCGUUGCGUCGGGCCUGAGAGCAGCACAGAUCUUCUAUCAUGGUUGGCAACGUCGUAACAAAGCCUCUGGGGUUCUUUUUGAUCGUCACAGCUCACAUGGUGUUCAACGGCUCUAGCCAUUCAGUUCAGCCAGUCACUGGGAUCCUUGGGAACAACAUCACCCUUCAAUUUACAUUUCAAGUCAACUUCACCAACGAGACCCGAGUUGCUGCUUACAUAGACAAAGGACAGAAAAAGAUUGCUGAAUAUUUACAGUGCAAAGUUUGCUUUGACAUUUACCCUGUAAAUUCUUCUGUAUUUUACCACAUCACAAACCUUAAACGGAGCCACAGUGAAAUUUACUAUGUCGGUGUGUUUAUGAACGGAGGACCAGCGAUAGAAAGCAGAAACAGGGUGAAACUGAUUGUCCAAGAGCAGAACACAAGCACAAGCACAGUUCCUCCAACGUCGACUAAGGUUGCAGCAGCUCCAAACAAUGGAAGUUCCAUUUUCGAUUCCUUUCACAUCAUCACUGUCCUUGUGGUUUCACCCGUAGUGCUGCUAGCUGCACUGCUUCCAGUCUUGGUCUACUGUUUGAUGAAGACCAAAGACAAACAACAGCAACAACCACAGCACAGCUCAAAUCCAACAGUGCAAGAAACAUUUGAGGUCUCCAGCACCGUGCCUGCGUCCUCGUUGGUCUACAGCGUCCUGGACUUCCCCAAAAGACUUCCAGCAGUUGCUGAGAUGAAUCCCAGUGAUACAGAGUAUGCUGCCGUCAGCUAUCUCCCAGAAACAAGACGAAUAUGACUGAAUGUAAACCUGCUCAUAUUUCUUAACAUGAGUAAGAUGUAUGUAGACAUAUAACCUAAACAUAUAUUUCUUCUGAGUGUGAGCAGUUCUGUUUUUGUAAGGCAGUUAUAAGAGCACCCAGACUUUAGACUUCCUGCAAGAUAUCACAAACCAAAGACUUCGGUGGGAAAGAAUCACUUGUCUGCUGCUGUGGUGGUCGUGAAACUGAAAUGUAUAUAGUACUUGUGACAAACCACAAAAGAGAGCACAGACUGUUACAGUAACAAACCAGCUUCCUGAUUAGUUUGCUCUUUAUUUGUUUCAGGGGCAUCUAGCCACUGAACCAUUAAAGGAUAACCACUGAGAUUUCAUAUUUUCUUAUCAUAAGCUAAUAAUUGUACUGUUUCAUGGCAUUUAGCAAGGUAGAAACACAUACUUUACUGCACUGUAGAGUGCUUUGGGUCUGAGUAAAUGCUACAAAAUAACUGCCAUUAAUAAUAGCUCCUAUCCAUUUACCAAAAAUUAUAGUUUCCAUGAGAUUUGGAAAAUUACUGAACCAUUUCAGCGUUUGUUUUUUUCAUUAGGAAACAGAAGAAGGUGGUGUUUUGUGCUACAGACAGGAAAUAUAGCAAAGUCAGUAAAUACUGAGAGAUGGUUUAACAGAUAAAACUUAACGCAGGAUGUUACCAGCCUUGUAUAUAAAAGCUGAAAUGUUCAUAGCUAUUUUUGAAAUCUCAACAGGCUGCCUUCUGGUUUCAAGUUGAGUUGCAGCAUCUUUUCUAGCUGUGUUUCCUUUUACAUCAAUGCUUUUAUCACAGUAGUGACUCACUAACUGUCUACUAUUGUUUUCUCAGGUGUAAUAAACUAAACUGAGAAUCAUUAGUGGUUGGAAACAGCUUUGGGGACGAGUUCUAUGUGUAGUUGCAGAUCAUUUAUCUGUCAGCGCACUGUAUAUUCAGAAGUCACAGGUGUGAUUUUCCAUUUACUGCUAUGACAGUUUGCCACUAGCACACCAGUUUUAAACACACAAUAACUACCUGACACUAUCUGGCUGCCAUUUUCCACCUUAUGGCCUCCAAAGUUCUCUCUGCAGGUGCUUAUUGGUGUCUUUGAAAGGUCUGUGAGACGGUAAGCAUUGACUUAGUUCUCAUGGCUAUGUACUGUUUUGGGUUUAGAAUGUAUUGUGUAGUCAAGCUCAACCCAACUGUUAGUGGAAAACAAGCAGGGUGAUUUUAUUUCAUCCCCUAUGUUGCUUUUUCUUUUCUCAGGAGGGACAACAACCAACUACUGUAAGUCAGGAAAUUCUGAUUGUGGCUUUUCAAACUGGUGGCUGCAGUCAGACAUCCAGUCAAACACAGACUGAAGGUUCUUCUUUCCUCUGAAAAGCCUGUUAGCAAAAUAGCAGAAGUGAAUUUUGAAAUUUAGCGAGCUACCAUAUCUUGUUCUGUCAAGUGUUAUUUCCUUAGAUACUACUAAACUGUUACUUCAUGAAAUACAUUCAAUAUUUUAGCAAUGAAUGUCAAAAUGGUAAACAAUAUUUUUAAUGUAAAUUAAGGCCUUUGUUUAAGAAUGUAGGAUCUCUGAGUCUCAUGUCAUUAAAAAACAACAACUUUGUUUUGAUGGCAGCUGUGGUAUGUUGGAAGAUGUGGCUAAAAUGAGAUCAAAAUGCAUUGUGUGAACUUCACUGUGUGUUUUGUUUUAAACUUCUUAAACAUGGCUGAGUCUUGAAUAAAGCUGCUGAUUUAA